Molecule: ribosomal RNA, 505 nt
Filed under: uncultured bacterium
Lineage: Bacteria
Description: partial 16S ribosomal RNA
Rfam family: Bacterial small subunit ribosomal RNA
Source: RNAcentral
GACGAACGCUGGCGGCGUGCCUAAUACAUGCAAGUAGAACGCACAGUUUAUACCGUAGCUUGCUACACCAUAGACUGUGAGUUGCGAACGGGUGAGUAACGCGUAGGUAACCUGCCUGGUAGCGGGGGAUAACUAUUGGAAACGAUAGCUAAUACCGCAUAAUAUUAAUUAUUGCAUGAUAAUUAAUUGAAAGGUGCAAUUGCACCACUACCAGAUGGACCUGCGUUGUAUUAGCUAGUAGGUGAGGUAACGGCUCACCUAGGCGACGAUACAUAGCCGACCUGAGAGGGUGGUCGGCCACACUGGGACUGAGACACGGCCCAGACUCCUACGGGAGGCAGCAGUAGGGAAUCUUCGGCAAUGGACGACAGUCUGACCAAGCAACGCCGCGUGAGUGAAGAAGAUUUUCGGAUCGUAAAGCUCUGUUGUAAGAGAAGAACGGGUGUGAGAGUGGAAAGUUCACACUGUGACGGUAUCUUACCAGAAAGGGACGGCUAACUACGUG